Molecule: long non-coding RNA, 18033 nt
Organism: Gallus gallus (chicken)
Lineage: Eukaryota; Metazoa; Chordata; Aves; Galliformes; Phasianidae
Source: Ensembl
AAUGGAGAAAAUAUGAGAAGUAUGCAAAAGUUUAUCUCAGACUAUUUCUAUGCUUCAAUAAGUGCUCAAAAAUGUGCUGCGUUAGACACCAAAGUCAAUACAGAUAUUCAGUGUUUUUGGCAUUUGAUUAGAUAUCCAUUUGCUCCCUAUUUUCCUUUUAAGAAGGAAUAGAAAUACCCACUGAAUAGCUAUUCAAAACUCCAAGUCCAUUAAAUAGGCUGAGUUGACAACCGAAGCGUAUAUCUGAAGACUUAAAUAAGACCACAGGUAGUGUUUUGUCCAGAAAUAAUCAAGCUAGCAAGUUUGAUGAUUCAGAAAAAAAGAAUGAAUAUUAAUCAUAAUUUUGAAUAUUUUGUAUUAUGUACUUGGAUCUUUUUGGUACGAUUUCAAUUUACACUUUACAUUUUGAGUGCUGAAAAAUGAUUAAGACAAACGAUAAAUGAUACACUGGAAAUUAAACAUACUAUUCCAAUGUCUUAGAAAGUGGGCAACACUUUCUAUGCUGUAGUUAUGUAAAAGGCUAAGCCUGUUAGUGAACUUUCUGUUGGAAAAAAGAUCUAAUUUUCUAAGUUGUCAUUCUGACUAAUCGCAACAGCACUCUCCUCACGGACAAAGGGUUCUGAUUAAGAAAUAUGAAGUUCUGACUACACGUCCAAAUGUUAAAUGAAACGUUUGCAAUGAACAUGUUGCAUUCAAAUAAGAAAUAUUAAAAAAAAAAAAAAAAAAGAACAAAAUCCACCUAAAUGAGAUUUUUUUUUUUUUUAUUUACAUUCAGGAUAUAUUGGAAUUUUUUGCCUAAGAUUCUGCAUAUACUUUUUAUAUAUAGACAUGCUAUGUGUAGAUGUGCAUCCUACAGAAUAGCCAUCAUCAUGUAGGAAGAAUGAAUAGCUUGACCUUCAGUUAAGCUACAGUCUUUGAUUUCAGAGUUCCAGGUCAGGCUGGUAUCAGAUUCUCCGUGAAAGAUCGUUGGUUACUUGAGGAUACGUGGGGUUAUCAGAGAACGAAAAAAUGUUUGAAACCUUAAAAUAAUUUCCUGAUAGGAAAAAAAAGGUAUUUCACCCUCUCUUCCUUACAUAACAGCCGGUUUGCAAAGGACUAAAAGAAGGCUUUAUGAAACUGCUGUAGCCAUCUUUUUCCUAUUGGUGAGCAGAGACUUGAACAAUUUGUUGAAGUCUAUGAGAAACAAAUGGGUAAUAAGGAUUUCACAGCCAGGUCAUUUUUUAUUUAUUCUGUUCUACAGCACCGCAUGCAGAGUCGCGAAGUGCUAACCUAGCUAUUCUCAGAAGUUGUUCAAAAUCCGAUGGACUAAAAAUAUUCCGUCUGCCAAGCACUCAAGGUGAUUUGAAAAGGCUCGGAUGCUUUUGCUUUGGGCCACAGGCUGCAGAUAAAUUAAGAGGCGUCAGGGCUUUUUUAAUUUAAAUCUCUUUCUUCUCCUCCAGCCCUAUUAAUAAUGAACCAAAUCCACAACAGUGAAGGAGAAGCCUGCUUGCUGGCUAACGCUCUGUUUGUAAGAUGGUGUCUGCAUCUCCCCACGGUGCUAAAAUUCAUUUCAAGUUACACUUUAGUAAUUGAUGAUCACUUGCUGUAUCCCCUUAUAAAGCUUUUUUAUCAAUGUCUUUGGCGGCUCAUUUUAUAUCAGCAGCAAAUCAAUGAAAUUUUAAUGGAACAGAGCUCUCUACUUGAGGCUGAAUUAAUGUUGCUUUACCUAUUUCAAUAUCAAGUGAAGUUCUCAAAGUCUGGAAGGAUAACUCUUUCUCUGAUAACUCCAGACUGACAGAAUAAAGCUGGUGAAGUAGGAAAUGCAAGUAGGAAAUGCAUGACAGCACGCUGAAUUGCCUUGGCUUAUGGGUCUCCAUCCACUGAAGAGGACUUGCCCAGUUUGGACUGUAGAAAUGGGGAGGACAGUAAGGAAGCACGCUGCCAUGCUGCCUUUAAAGCUGAAGGAAAGAGCCCGUUCUCCAGCAACAUUCAGUGUUAGGUGAGGUGUGUCUUUUGUUUUUACUCUUGAUUUAGCUUCCCACCGUUGCCAAGGUAGUUGUGCUGCUGUUUAGGAAAGCUAUUGCGUGGUGUUUGAAACAAGAAAACCCAUGUGUUGCGUGCUUGUUGGUUUUAACUGCUUGGUGGGGAUUUGUUCAAGAGUGAACUUUAGCUUAUUCGUAGAAUCAUGGAAGGUUGGAAAAGACCAUUAAGAUCAUCAAAUCCAACCAUUCACCCAUCACUACCAUGCCAACUAAGCCAUGUUGUUUGUGCACAUUGAUGGCAUCUAUGGAAUUUCUCCUUCCUUAAGCAAAAGUGAUUGCAAGCUGCCCCCAGAGCUGCUUCUGGAGAGCCAUGGAAGCCCCUUCAAAAGUCAGCUUGCCUAUUUUUUGGUGAAGAUCCUGGAGAAUUUUGCCUUCUUUAAGUUUAAUGUUUUGUAGUGACUGCUGUUGCAUGUCUGAUAAAACAUAGCUGCUAUGAUUUCUGUAACAGUUGCAGAUACAACUGAGAAAGUAUUAGAAGAGAUAGUUAAAAAAAAAAAAAAAAUGUCAAUUUCUAACCAAAGAAGGUAAGGAAACAAUUUGUCACCAUUGACAACAGGAAAAUGAAUAAAUAUUGCAAUAGAUAUAUAUCUACUCAACAAAUUUAUAUUAGUAUCAGAGCGACAUCCUGUCUCAGGAAGGGUAGUAGACCAAUGUUAUUAACUUCCUUGAUGGAGAUCUUUCAUUUCAGGCCGUGAAUUUGUGGUGUGACAUCACUGUCUUCUUUGUAGUUUUGCUUGUGAUCUUCUAUUUCCUAAAGAAGUAUGCAAAUUAUUACAUUAUACUGUGUUUUAAAGUAUUAAAUGGUUGUAAUUUUCAUAUUUGCAUGUUCUGAGCUGGGCUUCUGAAUUCACCUUUUGGCACUGAGAUAGAAGUGACUAAGCUGAGAAGUCUUGGAUAUUCUAUGUAAAUUAAUGCAUAGAGUAGAUAUCUGUCAUUCUGGGAAAGUUAGGAUACAGUGUAGUUGCAAAGACUCAGAAAAUGUGGAGCGUAUGUUGAGUCACGUAAAGCUUGGGCAUUUAUUGUUAAUUUUUUUAUACACACAUCAUGAGAGUCCCUCAUCAGUAGUAAUUGUAAGGCUUUAAAAGGGACAAGUGGAUCAUAUUUUCUGGAAGAACUUAACAGCGAAUUGUAGCAAAACAGCCUAUGAAAUGUUUCAGGGUCCAUGCUCAUUUCUUCUUCAGUUUGCUGACUGCAGGAUCCUCUGCUUCUUUUUAAAGACCUCUGUCAUCCCUUUCUGGACUCUCCCGCUUUUUUGCUUUUCUUUUCUUUUUUCGAUCUCUUUUAUCCCCUCCCCCCCUAGCUUAAAAAGCAGAAGUGUUUGCCAGUAAGUUGUAGUCACUUGAGUGCACUGUUAACAUGUGCUUGAAACCUCUGACAACCACGCCAGAAUUGUUCAGAACUCUUUAUUGUAGAAAAAGUAGGGAAGAAAAACACUCAGACAAACAAUUUAAUUAAGCAAAGGAAAGCAAUUUCAGGCGAGCUGAAUUCUUUGUUUUUAUACUGAAUAGUACUGAACUCUUGAAAUUUAAGAAUAGCUCUAUGUUUCCUCUUCUGCUGUCCUCUAAGGCUCUCAUAAGCUCUUGAUAAGAACUAGUUCUGAACUGAGUGCUAUAAUAAUGCUCUUCCAGUGCCCACCUGACCCAAAACUCCUGGAAGUCUGUGCAUGUCUUCUUUUAAUUUUCCAAUGUAUUCAAUGUCUGCUAGAACAAGAUGCAUAAAGGAUGAGGAACAAGAUCUUUCUGUGAAUAAAUCUGAUGAACCCCAAGGACUUGAAUUCCUUGAAAAAAUUUCAGAGGAGUGUCUGAACACCUGUGCUUCCUAUUAAAUCUUACGAAUGUUCUGAGAAUCUGAGCCAAUCUGUAAUGAUACUGUCCUUAUGUAUUUUCUAAUCUGUCCUGCUACUCUGGAUGAUAAGCCCUCUAAUAACUCUUUGGAGUACAUCAAAAUGUCAUUUUGUGCAGAAUGCCUGCUCUUUUCCCUCUAGAUCCUAGCUUAAAAAUGAGUGUUGUGUCACAGAAGAUCAUUUUGGAUUACAGAACAACUUCUCAAAAUGUCAGCAGUAAAUAGUCUGCAAAUCCCUCAUUAUCAAUAAUACAGCACUGAUAUUCAGUAAAAAGCCAUUUUGUAAAACUUUCAAGUCUGUAUCCUAACAAACCUUUUAGCUAGUAGCAAUCCCCCCAGCAUCAAGCAGGUUUAAUGCAAAAGAGAUCUGUUGUUUUUUUCCCUAGAGAACUCAAGUGAAGGUUUUAUAAACUUUUGGACAAGGGACUUGGAUUUCAAUACUGUUUUAAAUGAAACCAUUUAAGGAUGUUUUUAGUUCUUCAUCUUUACUCAUUGUAAGAAAUAAUAAUAAUAAAAAAUCCAUCAGUACGUGCUCAGAAACUAUUUUUUUUAUAAGAGUACAUUACUGUUUAUGAAAUUAUUUUUGUGCACUCAAUACUGACUUGGAUGUCACUAAAUUAAUGUUGUUGAGAGUGUGAGUCUCUGACUUGUGUUUGGUUUCCUUAUUCAUUUACACACCUUUCUUAAAAGCUUUCUUUCUUGUAUGAAGUAAAAGAGUCAGCGUUCUAAUGUUACUUGUGUGGAAACUGUAAUGCAAUAGGUAUAAAGCUAUUAUUUUUUCCAUGCGUAUCAACUUGAAAACUCUCACUGAUUGCAUUGGUAGAGAGUUAGGUCUGUAUGAGGAGCAGAGAAGAAAGGUCAGUGGGAAAAAAAUACAAUGAAAUCUUAAACCUUCAGAAAAAAAUGUGGUGAUGUUCAAAACAGUGAACGUGGUGAUAAGCACUGGUAUUAGGUUGAAGACUUCAAGAUUCUUUAUCUGCAUUGCUGGGCUUCCAGCACCAUGUUACUGUACAUUUCGCCUUGUUUAUGUAGAUUUUAAGGCUGGGAGGAUGAACUUGACUCUGUUUUUGACUUACCUGAAGAGGUUUUCUGACAGGAAAACUGUUAGGUAGCUGUGUACUGGGAACCCUUUUAAUAUAGAACCGUUCAUCUUAUAUUAACUUCUGUAAGCCAUCAGCCUGAAAUGAGCUGUCCUUGAACAAAUGAGUCACAAGGGCUGGUCUAGAUAUCUGAUUGCCAGCUGCUAGCCAGUCAAUCGUAUAUGAAGUGUUAGGAGAGCUCAUAAAACAUAGCUCACAAAAAAUUAAGCUCGCUAAGAGACAAGUGCAUCUGUACAUUUCUUUCUAAAAGAAUAACAAUGAAAAUUAUGUUGAAAAUGCAUCUGUUACACCUUAGAUAUCACUGCUGACAAACAUUCUUUCAGUAGCAUGCAAUGCUAGACCUUAAAAUAAAGAUGUUUCUGAAAGGAAAAAGCUAUUUUUUUAAAUCAAACUUGGCUAGCUUUGACUUCCAGAAAUGAUUCAGUAAAACAUACUGUCACAAAUAUAUGUCAAAGUCAUUGUCAAAUACCAAACUAUUUUAAAACCAGAUUGAUGAAUAGUAGUAGCUAAGCUUCAAACACAUGUUCAUUUUUAUAGUUAUUACUCAUAUGCUUGUGACCUCUAGUUAACUUCACUGGAGCCUGGAAUGCCUGCACAGAUUUUCUUUGUCACACUUCUGGUUCUCAAAAGUAUUUUAUGAUCCUUCCUCCAGCUUCUUUCCUCUUCUAAACUGCUCGUCGUGGGCAAUUAUUGAACUAUCGGGAUGUUGACAGGUAGCGGACUGUGAUUGGGCAGCUGCCACUGCAGCAGGAGUUGUGUGCACAGCACAGUUGAAUCUUGAAGCACAUUUGAGCAGGAGUACAGAUUGUAAUGGUACGUACUGCAGGGGUUUGCCUCGUUUAACACCUGAGAAGAAUUGGAAACAGCUGGAGCUGCAUUUUCUUGAACAACUCCAUCCAAAAGGGAGACAGAGUGCGAGCUCCAGAGAAUAAUCUAGACCAACUUAAAAAUGAAGGAAGCAGGAUGUUGUUAUAAAAAAUAAUGUUCAUGGGGCUGGAAGGUUAGAUGGUCACAACAGCCUCUGUGAAGUAAAAACAAAUUAAUGUACAUCAAACCCUUUCAUAUUCUAUGCCUUGGGUAUUAUGAUUGUAAAGAAUGUAAUCCUUAGCUUCAAUUCAUCCACUGCAGAGGAAUUUAGACCCUUUUCUUCCUUUGACAUUCCCUAUUCCUCUUGUUCUGCCAAAGUUCAGUCCUAUUCAGAAGACGAGCGUGCAGCUAGCAUAGUUUUGAAAAAGUACUGUUUCAAAACUCCUGAGUGCUGCAGAAAAGGACUUAAUAUACUGUGGAAACUGUGUUUCCACAACCUGUAGAAGCAUACAUCUGCACGUAGACUGGCAAUAAAAGUUUGAAAAAAUAUAUUUGCUUCGUGGUAGACUGCGUUCCAGUGAAGGUCCACCACAGCCAUAAAUUAAUGAUGGAGUACCUUCAAGCCGAACAGGAAAUAAUGUAAUACAGUCUUAGGUGACAAUAGUUUGCCUUACUGUAAUGUUACACAGAUAGCACAGCAACUUUUGUGGCAAUGUACGUGCUGCCCAAGGAAGAGAAAACCUCAUGAAAACAGAUGUAAAAAGAAGGCCUUCAGAAAACUAACUCUAUCAGAAGGUCAGCUCAGUUAACUUCCUUUUGAACCUGGUAUACAGAUUGUGAAAAUAGGAUUAUAGUCUGAACAGUCUUAUUCACACAGAUGUGUAUGACCUCUUGCACUCUGAGCAUUCAUGCAGCAAGCAGGUGGGAACGUAUUUGUCCUGUACUCCGAGACCUGGAGGCAGCAAGGGUAAUGCUGAGUCAGACACAUAAGUCCUGAAACGAGUAUAUGUUAACUCAGAUCUGACAUUCUGCAAAUCAUUAAGCAAAGCUCAUUAUUUUGGAUGCUUAGUGUGAUGAUCACUUGUAAUUCUAGCACCAACAAACUCCUGACGGGCCAAACGUCUGUGAAGGAACAAAGAGGAAAGUGAUCUUGUCAGAGUAGUUCCAUUUUACUAUCAUCACUUUCUCUUUUAAUGUACAUUAAUAUGCUAUGCUACUUUGUUUUGUUCAACUCAGAGAAUUCAACAGUGAUACUUAUUCUCAAAUCUCUGUCACCUGAUUUCUUGCAGGCUUUAGCCUUCUGAAAAAAUGGUUGUGUGUCACAAUAUUUAUUCAGUUGUUCAAGAGUUUUACUCACUAGGACAAGGUUCUUGAGUUGGGAUUGUCCUGCUCACACAGUCCUGGCAGUUUGGUAAGCUGCCGCUUCUAAAUUGGUAUUUUAUUGAACCUGGCUGAUGGGUGAACUUCUUCCCCACCUGUUCAUGGUAUAAAUAGAUCUUCCAGAACUAUAGUGACCAAGACUCCUUGCAACUUGCUUUAUUAUGUCAUCGUAUGAGAUAGGGAUCCCCUGCUGGCGUAUGCUGUCAAAAUUUGUCAAGUGUGCAUAACUCAAUGUGUAAUUAAACAUGAUCAGGUACAUUGCAUUCUGUUUUUUUCUGAACAUUCGCAAUUUAACCCCUGUCAGAGUUUGGCAGACACAUGACUGAAAAUGUUUUAGAUGAUGCUGAAGUUGGAGCAGGCACAGAAAGUCUUCCUUAGCUGGCGUGUUGCUGAGAAAGGUCUGAGUACUGAAAUGUCAGUGAAUUCAUUCUCUUAUUUGCUUUUCUACUAUGGGAGAUAAGUAGCUAGCACAUUAUUUUAAAAUAAGUACGUUAAUAGUAUUUUAUACUUUGUUGUGCAUGUGGUGUUCCGUGUUUGAAAUUAAAGCCAGAGAAUAAUAGAAAAAUUGACUUGUUUUGUAGAUGCAGCAUCUUUUCAUGAGCUAGAAUGAUUACAUCCACUUCCAAGAAGUGUAAGAACAGAGAGGGCUGAUCUUGGCAGACAGCGUUCAUAUGAUUUCUAUCUCAGUGCCUAUUUCAAAAACAGCCUUUGGUCGGGAGCAUACCACAGCCCAGCUUUUCAAAUGUGCUGAGUUGUUUUGCAUUGCCUUGUUUUGUUAGUUGGAGGCGUUUUGUAAGGUUUUGUAUUUCCUAGUGUUUUGUAGAACAGAUUCUUUCGAAGGAACUCAGGUGAAAAAUUGAGGUAUCUGAAAUCAUUAGUUGCUUUUGAACAAUCUUUCUUUCCUUGUUAUUUGAUCAAAUGCUUCUCAGCAAUUCCUGAUUAGAGCUUCUGAGGGAAAUUAAGGUCCAGAAUAUGAAGAUCAACAAGAAUGCUCAGCUGAUGGUCUCAGUUUUAAUGGAUAAUUUUACUGUAUUUAAAUAUGGCACACAAAUGAAAAUACCUUGGCCAGCUUAAUCAAAUAGAUGAUUUUUGAGAGAGCCUGGCUCCUGUCUGGCUCAGCACCAUCUUUUUGAGAAGAUACAGGGAUGUGCUGCCAAAAUAGUAAAUUCUGCUCCUGGUCCAACGAUGCAUAUAGAAGAGGCUGUUUAUGCAGGAUCAGAUAUGCAUUUGCCCACGGAAUAAAUAAAUGCUAAGAAAUACAUCAGCCCUGUUAGCUGACUUACCCUCAACUGGUUGUGGAAUAACUGGAGAAUGAGUGUGCCUAGAGCAUUGGUCUGCAGGUGAGAGGCACGAUGAGCACUGUUUUGCCCCACUUCAUUAGUAUACCUAUUGGCAGUAUCUACUCCCUUUAGUCUGGGCAUUCCAUAGGAAGCACUGGUACAAUGUAGAGACUUGCAGACUGAGAUGAAGUGGAAAGAAAAUCAAUCCCUGCUAGAAAAUCACUAGGCGGUAAUUCAUCCAGGAGUCAGGCUAAAGUUCCUGUCUGCUUUUCAUGAUUUGCUGCUUCUGCUUCUCCUCUCCUACAUUAUCACUGCAAAGAGGUCUCCUUUUAACUGUGUAAACUUUCAAGGUCUACAGAGAAGUUUUAUUAGGAAAACUUUCUUUUUUCUUUGUCAAGUCCAAGAGGGACAGAAAAUAUUACUUAUAUUACUUAUAUUACACCUUUUGAAUAUUUCACUAAAAAUUUGGAUGAGAAAGAGUUUCACAAUUCUGACUAUUGAAAAUAAUCAUGAAGACCAUUGAGAGGAGUGAUUAGCAAAGCAAGGGAGGUGAUUGUCCCUCUUUUCCUCUGUGCUUAUGAGUCCCCAUCUGGAGGAUUGCAUCCAGGCCUGGGGCCCCCAGCACAGAAGGGUUGUGGAGCUGUUGGGCUGGGUCCAGAGGAGAGAUACAGAGACGAUCAAUGGGCCGGAUCACCUCUUGUACAAAGAAAGGUUACAGGAGCUGGGGUUGUUUAGCUUGGAGAAGAGACUUCAUUGUGGCCUUCCAGUACUUGAAGGGAGCUUAUAAGCAAGAGAGGUACUGACUUUUUACAUGGUUUGAUAGUGAUAGGACAAGGUGUGAUGACUUUAAACUGAAAGAGGGGAGAUUUAGGUUAGAUGUAAGGAAGAAAUCUUUACUUAGAGGGCGGUGAGGCACUGGUGUAGGCUGCUCACAGAUUUUGUGGGUGUCCCAUCCCUGGAGGUGUUUAAGGAUGGGGCACCUGAUCUGGUGGGUGGCAACCCUACUUACAGCAGAGGGCUGGAACUAGAUGAUCUUUCCAGUCCCUUCCAACCUAAGCCAUUCUAUGGCUCUAUGAUUCUGUGAGAGCUGUCUUAAUACUUGAAUUUCAAUCUCUGCUAUCAAGUUCCUGCUUUAACAAUUAGCAGGCUUUUGAGUAUUUAGGAUAAAAGUUUUUCUUCCUCCCCUCUCUUCCAUUUCUUUACUUCUGUAUUAAGACAAGCUGAAUGUAUGUAAUCUAACUCUAAACUCAGCUUUCUGGCUGAGAUAUUAACAGUAGAUGAAGAAAACAGAUAGAUCUGUUGUUUGUGUUUCUGUGUUGUGGUUUUUGUUUCUUUUUUUCCCUUGAUGUAUUUUCUUCCACAGCCUUGAGCAAGAGAUUCCUAACUGAGAAAGACUGGGUUCAUUAAGUUAAUGAAGGAGCUAACUGGAGGAUGCUUAGCAAUACAGGGAGAAGAAAGUGCAUCUAUCUUGUAUUAUUAAGAUUUAUCAUGUGAUCAGAAGGCAGUUGUAUACAUUUGUGUGAUUGUUUACAUGUCUCAAGUGAGUAAUUACAGGGAUAGGGAAAACAAAAAGCUAUCUUAAAUGUGGGGAAUGUGUUCUUGUGAUACAGCACAGCACGGCCAAGGCUAAAUUACAGACAUAAUGGCUUAAAUAGUAUAGUCUUAUUAGUCACAUUCACCAAAUGCGAAAACGACACUGUUGUUCCCCAAAUACCUUUGGAGACAAAUUAUGGACAGUAUUGGCAUUUCCAUAAGAAAUGGACAGUAAAAAGUGUUUUGUUUUUCCUUUGGUAAGUAAUUAAAGAUGGACAAACCAUCAGUAGCACUUGAUUUCAUGGCUCUCGGAUGUAUGAUGUGAAUGUUCAUUGUGAAUCAGUACUUUGAAAAAGAUGCCUAGUGAAUACUUCUGUGUUUGGUUGGUGGGUUUGUUUACUACAUUCGCCUACAAAGCACUACACAGAUUUAAACUAUUAAUUUUGACUAUCAGGAAAUGUUUGAAUAAAACUCAACUUCUUUAAAUGGUUAAGAAGAAAGCUUAAAAAAAAAAAAAGGAAGUCAGUAAGCUUCUAAUGGGAAGAAUUUUUAUUGAGUAGUGACUUCUCUGUUAAUCAAAGAUUACUGAUACCUACCAUUCUCACUGUAAAACUAUCAAUGGCUACAGUCUUUGCAGUUUAAAGGUACAAGAGAAUGUAGACUCAAUGCAGAAAAGAGGUGAUGAAUACAACUGAAGAACUUAAGGGACCAUCUGGGCUUUUUAUUGACUGCAAAACUGGAAAUACUAAUAUUUUUUGGUACUUCAUUCCAUAAAAGACACAAAACUAUGCAUGUAAGUAAUAGAAAUGUAGCAGAAGAGAAACCUCUUUAUCUAGCUCAUCACCUUUCAGUGACAUAAGCUUAAUAGCAGAUGUUCAUCCUUUAUUCUCUAAGCAUUUUCUAAAUACUUCCCUGCCCAUUCUGAUGAUGAACACAGAACGCCUCUGAAUUAGAUAUUUGUUUAUUAUUUAUCACUGGAGUAUUUUUACCAACCUUGAUGUUAGAGAGCUGUUGUCAUGUUACCUGUGGGAUUUCUCUUUUCUAGACUAACCCUCAUGAAUUCCUGCAGCUUUGCCUUUUAGGUCAUAUUUUUAAAACCUGUUACUACAGGUUUUCUUUUUUAUGUUCUCUUAAGAACUCUGUGAUUGCUUUUGUCUGCUUUAAGCAGACUGGCCAAGCUGCAGUCAGUGUUCUGGCUGAGCUCUCACCGGGAACACACAAAGCAAACCAAUUUGCUUCAUUUCAGAUUCACAAUAUUCCUGCUAGUACAGUCCUUAAUAAUUUUCCUGCAUUGUUGGCUCUUACUUAGGUUUAGUCUUGACAGCCAGAUUCUGUCCUGACGUAUACUGAUUGAUUGUUUCCCUUUGAAUUAUGCUCUUUAUUUCCCCUCCUUAUGGACACAUUUAUAAGGCAUAAAUGUCUUAGGGACAUUUCUCCUCCUUAUGCCUGGUCUUCAGUGCAUGCAUCUUCAAAUUAGUUCCUCUCGUCCAAAAUGCAUAAUAAAUCUCUCAAUAUGAUGCUUUGAUUGCAUUAUUUAUUUCAUUAGUCAAAUAAUUUACAGAGAUUAUGAUUAAAACAGUUAAAAAAAAAAGAAAAAGGAAAUAAAGAACAAUUUCAGGUCAGACCUCUGGAAGACAUCACUUAAAGUCUCUUAGUCUGAUAACAAGAAAUAGUUAACUUAGGAAAUUUUGAUUGCAAUUCUGCAAGUCCUUUCAGUUCACUGUACUUUUACAGUACCAAAUGCCUCACAAAGGCCAAAGUUCGUCAUGUCUGUUGCUUAAACCAGUUAAGUCAGCUAGAAGGGUUGCUGUAGUCAGGUAUUUUUGAUAAAACCAGGCAUCGUGAAGAGUAUGAUGUUACUAUAGCUAUUUUAAGAAUACUUAGCAACCCAUCAGGUUUUGAAUAAGACUAAGUGGCCUGUGAUUCUCAGGUAUUCCUUUUACUGCUUAAAGUUGGUACUGUUUUCUCCUUCUUCAUUUGCAAACCAAGUGAAACUCUUCUCUAAAGAUCACUGUAACUAAAGAUAAAGUUUUCAACUUCAGCUAUAAGUGCAUACACCUGUGUUUCUGGGGGAGUUCCUUCCAGCUGUAGUUUUAUUCACCAUGCAGGCCCACUGAAUUUCUCAUCUAGCUGUGACUAGUUAGGUAUGCAUGCAUUCAGUCUCUUGCAGAAGCAUUUGUAUGAAAGAACUGAUUUCAGAAAAAAAUCAGCAGAGGGUCCAAAAAGUGUUAUAAAUUUAUCAAAAGAUCUGCCAUGGUUCCAAAAUCUCUUUUUGAAACAUAUUUCUAAAGAACUCUUACUGGAGAUGGAAAUUUAGUUAUACCCUGACAAAUGGGUAGUUUACUUGCUAAGGUUCCAUAAAUAAGGUUUCUGUAAAUAGAUGUAAGUGAAUAUGCAAGGUAUGGAAUGUAGAAUAUUUCCUUACCUGCUACAACCUAAAAUUACUCAGGAAAUGAACAAAAGCUUCCUCAAAACAAACAAACAAAGAAACCAAACAAAACCCAUGAGCUAUGACUACCAGCUACCAAGUGAUCCUUUCCAAGAUGAGAGAGUACAGAAUAUUUUGGAAGCCCUUACUGCAUGAAAGCCACAGUAGCAGCCUGGAUUAUAUAAUUUGGUCAUUGUCACUGAAUUUGUGCAAGCACGUAAAGUGGCAGCAAAGUCAGAAUCACAGAAGAAAAUGCUUAGGUCAACUCAAAGACCAAUUGAAAACGGGAUAUCUAAUGCAUGCUAAAAUUAUGGGUAAUGCCAGGUCAUAUUAUUACUUUAGAAUAGUGGGAAAGUAUGCACUUAAUGAGCUCUACUAAGAGCUGUGUGGCUUGAUUAUUGCAGGUGAAAUAGUUCAGCUGCUAACAAAUGGUGCAGACCUUUUUCAAAGGUCUUUUCCCUGGCCUUCCCUCCGCUCCUGCCUUCCUCAAGGUGUUUCUGAGCACUGCCUUACUUCUAGUGAGAAUCCUCAUGGCAGGCUGAUGCUGGUACAAGGUUAGACAGAAGACUCUAAGGUCAGGAUUGAUUUUGAAAUAAGUAAUUUCAAUGACUAUUAAGGUAAUCAAUACACAGCUUGGAGCAAGACAUCUAAAAGUAGCCAAUACUCUCUUCCACAUCAAGAAUUCAUCUGGAAUCUUACAAGACUGUUUUGCAGAUUCUCAUAAUGAGAAGUCAGACCUUCAGUGCAAGUUGCCUCAUUCCUCUAGAGUAAGUUGAUUUGUAUCAGUGUACACCAGCAGAAGAUUUAUACCAUGGUGCCAUGGAAAUGCUAAGUCGUAGCCUGAAGCAGUGAUUGCACACCUGGUGGGAAGGCAGGGCCAACCCAGGGGAGCUCAGGUGAACACAAUGCAGCUGAUUAGAAGGGCUGGAGCGGGGAUCCACCCUUUCCCAGACCUCAUGUAAGGGUGGCAGUGGAGGGGGAGCCUCUCUUGUUGGAGAUUCCUGCCUAUCUGAAGAUGUUACAGGCCUUCCAAAGGUGCCAGUCCACUAAUGAACAACUUCAGUACAUUGUGGGUGUUUUACAAUAAGCUCCCACUUCUCUUUGUUGGCAUUGUCAACAAAAAUAAUGAAAAGUUACUUCAGCAGUGAGAUUUGUCCAAGAAAUAUGGAGAGAAUCAAUAUCAGAUGCAGAAAGGACAAGACAAUGGAAUUAAAACAUUCAAAAUUCUUUUCAGCACUUCCAGAUGCCGAUAGCAGAGACGUACUGACAUGAAAACCUCAACAAAAAAGUUGUAUCUACCCCAUCUACCUCUGUGAUGACAGAAUCACAGAAUGGCUUGUGUUGGAAGGAACCUCAAGGAUCAUGAAGCUCCAACCCCCUCGCCACAAGCAGGGCCACCAACCUCUGCAUUUAAUCCCAGACCAGACCACAUUUAAUGCCCAGGGCCCCAUCCAACCUGACGUUGAACAUCUCCAGGAAUGAGGCAUCCACAACCUCUUUGUGCAGCUGUUCCAGCACCUCACCACUCUCAUAGUAAAGAAAUUACAGAUUAUGAAGUAGUGGUUCCUGUGUGUAUCUGCUGUGCUGACCUCACCUAUAAAUGACUCUGCAGUGGAAAAGAUUCUUCUGUUCCCAAAAAUAUAAAUUACUCUUUAGACUAGGUUUUGCAUUCAAGCUAAUACAAUGGUGUUACUCAUAAGAGUGAAAUUAUUUGUGUUCAUACACGUUCCUAGAAUUAAUAUGUAACAUCUCAAAUCAGAUCUAACAGGAUGAAAAUGCGGAAUUUUGGGGGUCCAAUUUUGAGUAUGUAUCAAUCACAAAUUAUGAUUCUGGAAAAAAAAGUAGUUGUAACUAUGAGGUUAAUUAUAGUAACUAUGAGGUAGAUUACAUGCAGUCAUCAAAUAACAGUUUUGUUACGCAAUGAGUAUCUGUCUUUGCAGUUAUAACACUGCAUCAUUUCUUAAAGUUAGUAUUAUCUUGUAACUUCACGUUGUGUUUUAAUUGCCUACUUGAAUUUGCUGUGCUUUAGUAGUGAAGACUUGCUGAUUAGUAUAUUAAUUGUUUUUAAGUGUUAAUGUAAUGCUUGGGACUUAUUUAACUUGGAUAAAUUGUGGGAUCUUUUUUUCUCUUUUCCUUGUUUUCUUUAAGAUCUCAGCACAUAUAUCGGUCGAAUCUCCCUAUGAACUCAAAUACCUGCUCUUAGAUAAUGGCUAUUAGACUUACGCUGUAAAGCUAAUCGCAGCAGGUGCCAUCACAGGACAGUGGGACAGUAGUGAACAUCCUUCCUAGUCAGUGGUCUCUGAUGUCAGACCCAGACUUUAUCCUUCUUCUACUGUGCUUUUUCAGGUGAUGUUUAAAGCCUGAUUUGGCUGAUUAGUGCCAAUGUAGUUGAUUAAAGUUGCUUAUUGUUUUAGUCUGUCAGCAGUGUGAAUGUCAUGCAUCUGCUUAGGUAGGAGUAGUGGUGAAUUGAAAGGUAAGAGCUAUGUCUGAUUUCCAAUAUGAGCUGUUUUAGCCAACCCCCAUCUGAUGGGAAGCCUGUACCACUACAGGACUCAAGCUGUGCCUUUGUACUGAUCUGCUGCUCCUCAAUUCAAGAAAUACUGCCUCAAAAUAAAGCUGUUUGUCUUAUGUCAAGAGAUGAUUUCAUAUGCUCUCAGUGGUAGCUUAAGGAGAACUUUAAUCACUGCUCUAUACUAGGUUUUCAUGUGUUUUGCUUUGAUUGCUUUUAUAUACAUACAUUAGUGAAAUGGGGCAGGAACAGAGGAAGUUUUUGUUACAUUCUGACGGUCUUUGACAGGUCCUGGAUGUAUUGGGACUGUCUCCUCAACCAAGGCAGAACCCGAGUUACACAAAGGAAAGCUGUAUUGGACAAUUGGUCUUCCAGCUGAAGAAGCCAUGCAGAAGCACAUGAUAUCAUGAACAUUAUUAUUAUUUCCCAGAAACUACUGAAAAAAGCAGUUAGUUUUGUCACAGACAUAAAUGUUCUGCUUGGUGUCAGUGCAACCUCCAUUGUUUGCAAAGGUGGUUACCUUGUGUGUGCAGAAGUCCUGCCCGCUACCAUUAGCCAUACCGUUAGCUGUUACAGGAGGCUCUGCUGGUCAGUCAUGGUGACCCAGUCUGGCCAUUUCUGAUAUUUAAUGUAAUUCUCAAGUUGUUGUAAAACUCCAUAAGAAAAAGCCAUGCUAUAAUGAACAGACGGAAAUAAAGCUUCCCUUGUCUAAUAGUGUUAAAAUAUAUAUAUGUAUCUGAAGAAGUAAGGAAAGUGUUUGUCAUCAGAAGUUUUUCAUAAGACUUUUCAUGAUCAUUGCAUUCAGUGUUCAUUUAUCAUUUAGAGAAAAAAAAAUUCAGUAAUUAUUUUCAACCAAUAUAGGAAGAGAUUGAGAGCAAAUAUUAAGAUCAUUUGAGAGGACAAUUGAGGAUUUUAUUAUUAUUAUUUAGUAUUUCUCACAGUGCCUCUUAUUGCUAUCAUGUCUGGUCUUCUUUUUCUACGCUUAAAUAUUCAACACCUCUGUUGUUUUGGCAUCAACAACUGACUCUGUCAGUGUACAUAAGAAGCCUCUGAUCUCUUAUGCUACCUAUGCAGAUUCUGAAUCCUGAGCCAAAACUUGGUCAAGUCAGAGGGGGGGUGUUCAUACAGAGUCCUAGAAAAAUCGUUAUGGGGAACAUCUAGUAUAUCUCAAAUCGUGUAGAGGAAUCUGCUGAAACAAAGCAUGCUGGUACCUAGCUUAACUUGUACUUGUUAAUUAUUAGUGAUUAAUUUUUAAUAGCUAUAUUUUAUAGCUUGUGGUUGGUUAUGCCCCAAGGUAAUGACUUCUUGUGUCUCAUAUUCUGUUAUUUGAAGGACAUCAUUCAAUAUAGCAUCUACACAGCUUUGUUAAAAGCAUUUAGAUCUAAAUUUUCUGCAGCAAAGACACAUUUAUUAAAUAGUCCAUAUGUUUAUUACUGUUCACAAUGAUCAAAUCCUGGGAAAACAUUGCAGAAAGAAAAUAUCUAGCUUCCUACCUUAAUUCCCAUUAUUCUAUUGAUUAGAAAAGUGAAGAUUACAUGUAUUAUCAACUGUAUUAUCAGAUAAUCCAUAAUCAGAUGCCAUUUUAAUGACAGGCAUGUGCUUUUUGUGGUGUUCCCUGGUAAAGCAGUAUGAAGAAUUUAAUGACUUCAUUAAAAGAUACUGCAUAACAAAGAAAGGAAAGCCCAAUGCUAUUUAAUAUUAUCUUUACAAUGUAUUACAUUGUUGAAUUGGAUUUUUUGUUUUGCUUACUUGGUUUUUGCUGUUGUUUUGCAAUUUUAUGUUCUGUAAGUUGAACAAUAAAUGUGUGAUAAGCAAAGGAAAUGUUGAGAUUUUUGCAGAUAUGGGCAAGCAGUGUUAUGACAGGUAUGUUCUGUGUCCUUAAAGAAACAGCAAGAAUGGUUUGUACCUUAAGAUGAUGAAUCUAUAGCGGACUUUCAAAUUCUUUUAAAAAGCAAAAUAAUAAGGAAGGUUUCACUGUUGCAGAUUGUGCCUGGAAUGUUGGGGCUGGGAGAUGCCACAAAGGAUAUUUUCCUUUUUUUUUUUUUUUUUCCAUUAUUUUAUUUGUUUGUGUGGUAUUUCGGUAUUUUUUUAUUGCCUGUCCAAGCUGACUGUACUAGUACCGCUGUGUUCUCAGAAGUGGAUCUGGAUGAUUCUUUACUUUUUUACUGGAGGUCGGAUUUACUUUUUUUUAGGAAGUCAGAUCCUGUCAUGAAGAUAGACUGGAAGUCAGGACUUUCCUUCUUGUGUCACAGACCUUGUGUGGGCCUAGCCUGGACAGGGUGUUUGAUUCUCACUGCUGCAGUAUUCCGUGUGAAAUUUGAAGUUUUGAUUUAUUCUUUCAAUUUGUUUAAGAAUACAUGUAUUCAUCAUGUAUGAGAUACAGAGAUGUAAUACUAAUGGAUACCUGGAUACAGUCCAUUGGAACGGUGAGUUUUGUAUCUCAAUUAUUGCAAAGCCUAAAAAUAGUUAAUAUUUGAGAGCAAAAAACAAAAUCGAGAAAACUCUUUGUCUUAAAUCUGCCUAUUCAUGAUUUGUCUAAAAGCACAUUAGUUUUGGGAAACAAAACUGAGAUUGUCUGCUGUUUUAGAACUUAAAAAUCAGUGAAAAUCAGCUGUUAUCAUCUUGACUUGGAACUGAAUUUGCUUUGUAACCUAAAAAGGCUGUAAUUUUGUAAAUAGGUAAUAGUUGUGGUAUUGUUUGUAUCAUUAAUACUGUAUUGCAUGUGUUACGAGUGUUGAUGCUGCUAGAUCUCUCAGUGGCUCAGGUUAGUGAAAGCUAUUUAAAGAAGUCUCUGAUGCAGAGAUGCCAUUACAUUUGAUAUCUUACAUUGUGAUUUACAGGUUUUUAAGGCUUUGUUUGAUGUUGAUUUUGGUUUUUUUUUUUUCAGAGCUCCUCUCCAGUGGUUCUCUGUUUGUUGAUCUGGCAAAGUCAUUUAAAUGAAAGUUCACAGUGCCAGAAUAUGGCUUAGCAAUUCACUGAAGCCACUAGAAUUGGGUUUUAUUUAUUUUAUUGUUUUAUUGCUGUCCUGCUCUGCUUGAAAUUCACCCAUUUAUGUUUAAGUAUGACAACAUAAAGCAAGUAGUAACAACUGUUUCUUUUUUUUUCAUUGAUCUGCGACAAAUUCUUCAGCUUA